RNAcentral lists this ribosomal RNA (2067 nucleotides) under Triticum aestivum (bread wheat). RNAcentral describes it as "partial small subunit ribosomal RNA". The record is from RNAcentral. Lineage: Eukaryota; Viridiplantae; Streptophyta; Magnoliopsida; Poales; Poaceae.
GUUUACUGAUUAUUAUACAGGAAAUAUGACAGCGAAGACGGCCUCCAUGCCUCUCGAUCGAGUAAAUCUCUCCUGGCCUUCAGGAGGCUGCUGGAAAUCAACCACCGCGAGGUCCUCAAGGAGCUCUACCGCAGGAAAAUCAACAACGUUCGAUACGUAUUCUGUUCCAAAGCUAUCUACUUCAUGGUGUACGAGAAGUACCGCAGCUGGCUCCUAGGCACUAUUCCCUCGCUCGGCGGCAGCCUGGUCAGGACUUGCUUGUCGGGUCGGCCGCGACGGCACAUCCCCAAUAGAUACGUAUCCCCUCAACUCGCCUUCUGUCACAGUUUGCUUGGUACCCUCACUAAUACAUGUUCGAUCUGAUAUAUGUUAUGACAAUCUGAAGCGCGUCGGGCCAUGGACAAUGUUCGAUAAAGCGGCCAUUACUAGCGACAUGAUGGAGUACAUCCGCUCCCCAUGUAUGACAUAUUGUAGGCAUUGGCCACAAUCCUUGAAUUGACUAGAAACACAGGAGACCUGUAGUUUAAGAUGAUGCUCGUCUAUGCCUUUUUGGUCUAACUCUGAAAUCCAUCAGUACCUCUAGUUAGCCAAGGACGAGGUUGAAUUUUCGUUGCCUCAGAUUUGAUGUAGCGUGUUGGCAUUGCUAACUUACCCAUAACACAUGGUCAAUCGAGUUUCAUUUUGGUAUUGUGAGUCUAGGAGCGCACAUGCACUAUGUUUACUGGACAUCGAAGAGGGGCUGCCUUUGCACGUCAUGGGUUUCGGAUUGAAGGAAAAUUGGGCUGGACUGUUCUGCUCAUGUUAAUUGAUGGAGCUAAAUGUAUUGCCUGGCGGAAGAUUAGUAUAAUAGAAAAAUGGGGUAGGGUUGCUCGUCCGUUCCGUAUAGGUAAGGUUUGUAAUUUGGAAUACCGAGCAAGUUCUCAAGUAGUGACACCCUGAAGUUUCAUUCUAAUUUCAUCAGGUGUUUGGUGCAUGAGGAGAUUUUUCAUAGUAAUCAUAACACUUCCUUUCCAUACAGCAAGAUGAAACUAAAUAUUUUGUUCAUAGUAAUCAUACCUAUUCCUUUCAAGCUGAAACUAGACACAUCCUCAUCAGGUAAAUUGAUUCAUGUUCUUACUUCAUGUCCAGACAGCAAGACGAAACUAAAUACUUUUGCUAGCGUAUUUGUUGGAUCUUGAUUUUCGUAUAUGUUUAGAUUUGUCUUACACAUGUUUAAGAACCAGAUUCAGAGUAUUGCCAAGGGAUAGCCCAACGUCUUCUUGUGAAACUAGAUUAAUUGUACAAGAUUGAAUGUGACAAAACAUUAUACAUGAUAAUCGUUUCUUUGAAGUUUGAAGGUGGCACAUGACAUCUUUUCAAUUAUAUAUUCAUUUAAUUCAGUUGGAGAGGAAUAAAUUAUGUUAAGAAUCAGUACCAUGAUAUUUUAGUAUGAUUGGUCCUUUUGGAGUACAUUCAUAACACAAAAGAAUUGUUUGGUGGCCUCAUACAUUUUUCUCGUGCCUACCUUUGCAGCACAUCAGUGACAACAUGCUUGGCCAUAUGUCUCAAUUUCGGUGUCUGAAAGCACAAGAUUAGAUGACUUUUCAGAUGAUCGGAGACACGGUAAGGUCUCUAUAUUAAAGUUAUUAUGAGUCAACCUAAUAUUUUAUUCUGUUUAUUGCAAACAGAACCAGAAUCCAAGAUACGAAUACGCAAUUUAGAACCUUUAUGUGGUGUGAACAAGAUGAACAACAGAAGAGAAUGGUGAGGGAAUCGGAAUUAAAUGGAAAACAGGGUUAGCGGCUCAGAUCAGCGACAUGAACUCCUCGAUUUUCCCUAUUGUAUUAGCCCAAGUACGGAGUAUCUUUAUCCUGCUCUCGCCAGUGGGAUACGAAACGCACUCUUCCAUCCAGUUCCUCCACCCGGUCAACCCAAGUACAUUGCAAACGAUGUUUGCUUGUAGGGAAGCAUCAUUGAAUUAAAUGUAUUUACGAGUUAUAAAUGUUAAGUAUGUGGAUACUUUUCCCCCGUUGCAACGCACGGGCAUUUUGUAUUGGGUUGUCCUGGUGUUGCAACCUAGGAAGUACA